CCUACGGGGGGCAGCAGUGGGGAAUAUUGGACAAUGGGGGCAACCCUGAUCCAGCCAUGCCGCGUGUGUGAAGAAGGCCCUCGGGUUGUAAAGCACUUUCAGUGAGGAAGAACGCCUGGUGGUUAAUACCCAUCAGGAAAGACAUCACUCACAGAAGAAGCACCGGCUAACUCCGUGCCAGCAGCCGCGGUAAUACGGAGGGUGCGAGCGUUAAUCGGAAUUACUGGGCGUAAAGCGCGCGUAGGUGGCUUGAUAAGCCGGUUGUGAAAGCCCCGGGCUCAACCGGGGAACGGCAUCCGGAACUGUCAAGCUAGAGUGCCGGAGAGGAAGGUGGAAUUCCCGGUGUAGCGGUGAAAUGCGUAGAGAUCGGGAGGAAUACCAGUGGCGAAGGCGGCCUUCUGGACUGACACUGACACUGAGGUGCGAAAGCGUGGGUAGCAAACAGGAUUAUAUACCCCAGUAGUC
Molecule: ribosomal RNA, 465 nt
Filed under: Vreelandella stevensii
Lineage: Bacteria; Pseudomonadati; Pseudomonadota; Gammaproteobacteria; Oceanospirillales; Halomonadaceae
Description: partial 16S ribosomal RNA
Rfam family: Bacterial small subunit ribosomal RNA
Source: RNAcentral